This 1373-nucleotide ribosomal RNA is filed under the name Escherichia coli. RNAcentral describes it as "partial 23S ribosomal RNA". It matches the Rfam family "Bacterial large subunit ribosomal RNA", at positions 128 to 1545 of the family's 2925-position model. Lineage: Bacteria; Pseudomonadati; Pseudomonadota; Gammaproteobacteria; Enterobacterales; Enterobacteriaceae. The record is from RNAcentral.
CCAGUGUGUUUCGACACACUAUCAUUAACUGAAUCCAUAGGUUAAUGAGGCGAACCGGGGGAACUGAAACAUCUAAGUACCCCGAGGAAAAGAAAUCAACCGAGAUUCCCCCAGUAGCGGCGAGCGAACGGGGAGCAGCCCAGAGCCUGAAUCAGUAUGUGUGUUAGUGGAAGCGUCUGGAAAGGCGCGCGAUACAGGGUGACAGCCCCGUACACAAAAAUGCACAUGCUGUGAGCUCGAUGAGUAGGGCGGGACACGUGGUAUCCUGUCUGAAUAUGGGGGGACCAUCCUCCAAGGCUAAAUACUCCUGACUGACCGAUAGUGAACCAGUACCGUGAGGGAAAGGCGAAAAGAACCCCGGCGAGGGGAGUGAAAAAGAACCUGAAACCGUGUACGUACAAGCAGUGGGAGCACGCUUAGGCGUGUGACUGCGUACCUUUUGUAUAAUGGGUCAGCGACUUAUAUUCUGUAGCAAGGUUAACCGAAUAGGGGAGCCGAAGGGAAACCGAGUCUUAACUGGGCGUUAAGUUGCAGGGUAUAGACCCGAAACCCGGUGAUCUAGCCAUGGGCAGGUUGAAGGUUGGGUAACACUAACUGGAGGACCGAACCGACUAAUGUUGAAAAAUUAGCGGAUGACUUGUGGCUGGGGGUGAAAGGCCAAUCAAACCGGGAGAUAGCUGGUUCUCCCCGAAAGCUAUUUAGGUAGCGCCUCGUGAAUUCAUCUCCGGGGGUAGAGCACUGUUUCGGCAAGGGGGUCAUCCCGACUUACCAACCCGAUGCAAACUGCGAAUACCGGAGAAUGUUAUCACGGGAGACACACGGCGGGUGCUAACGUCCGUCGUGAAGAGGGAAACAACCCAGACCGCCAGCUAAGGUCCCAAAGUCAUGGUUAAGUGGGAAACGAUGUGGGAAGGCCCAGACAGCCAGGAUGUUGGCUUAGAAGCAGCCAUCAUUUAAAGAAAGCGUAAUAGCUCACUGGUCGAGUCGGCCUGCGCGGAAGAUGUAACGGGGCUAAACCAUGCACCGAAGCUGCGGCAGCGACGCUGAUGCGUUGUUGGGUAGGGGAGCGUUCUGUAAGCCUGCGAAGGUGUGCUGUGAGGCAUGCUGGAGGUAUCAGAAGUGCGAAUGCUGACAUAAGUAACGAUAAAGCGGGUGAAAAGCCCGCUCGCCGGAAGACCAAGGGUUCCUGUCCAACGUUAAUCGGGGCAGGGUGAGUCGACCCCUAAGGCGAGGCCGAAAGGCGUAGUCGAUGGGAAACAGGUUAAUAUUCCUGUACUUGGUGUUACUGCGAAGGGGGGACGGAGAAGGCUAUGUUGGCCGGGCGACGGUUGUCCCGGUUUAAGCGUGUAGGCUGGUUUUCCAGGCAAAUCCGG